Molecule: long non-coding RNA, 297 nt
Organism: Mauremys reevesii (Reeves's turtle)
Lineage: Eukaryota; Metazoa; Chordata; Testudines; Geoemydidae
Exons: 3
Source: RefSeq, a predicted model, not a curated record
GUGUAAUAUUUAAAAGCGCCACAACACAGCUGCCUGGCAGUCUUAUUGCCUGGCACUCAGGGACUGGAGUCUAACACAGCCAGAGGCAGUCAAGGGAAGUCUGUGAAGCUGCCUGACUACAAGCAGAAGGCAGCACCUGACAUCCACCCCUCCUCCUUCUGGGAGCUAUGAUCAUCCGCCUCAGGCACUUAACCCCGGGGUACUUCCGCUUGCUCCAGAUGCAGCUGGCCGGGGGGCUGGAGUCCGAACCUAAAGACCGUCUGGUGAAUCACUUGGCUCUAUUCCUGGCUAUCAUGG